AAGACUAUACUUUCAGGGAUCAUUUUUAUAGUUUCUGACUUGAGAAAUGUGUUUCUAGAGUGUAUGGUCUCGCUAACCACGAUGACGAGUUGUGAUAUUCCCUUUUGAGCAUGAAGGUGAUGGGAUAGUGCUGUGCUGCAUGUGUUCUCUGUCAUUGAUGAUUGCUUAUUGGUUUACUGUAGAGCAGUGAGGAAGGGAGUAUGAUCAGAGUGGCU
This is a small nucleolar RNA of Oreochromis niloticus (Nile tilapia), 215 nucleotides long. Ensembl annotates it as small nucleolar RNA U3. The record is from Ensembl. NCBI's taxonomy places the organism in Eukaryota, Metazoa, Chordata, Actinopteri, Cichliformes, Cichlidae.